Molecule: ribosomal RNA, 568 nt
Filed under: uncultured bacterium
Lineage: Bacteria
Description: partial 16S ribosomal RNA
Rfam family: Bacterial small subunit ribosomal RNA
Source: RNAcentral
UGGGGAAUAUUGCACAAUGGGCGCAAGCCUGAUGCAGCAACGCCGCGUGAGGGACGACGGCCUUCGGGUUGUAAACCUCUUUUAGUAGGGAAGAAGCGAAAGUGACGGUACCUGCAGAAAAAGCACCGGCUAACUACGUGCCAGCAGCCGCGGUAAUACGUGGGGUGCGAGCGUUGCCCGGAAUUAUUGGGCGUAAAGAGCUCGUAGGCGGUCUGUCGCGUCUGCUGUGAAAACCCGAGGCUCAACCUCGGGCCUGCAGUGGGUACGGGCAGACUAGAGUGCGGUAGGGGAGAAUGGAAUUCCUGGUGUAGCGGUGGAAUGCGCAGAUAUCAGGAGGAACACCGAUGGCGAAGGCAGUUCUCUGGGCCGUAACUGACGCUGAGGAGCGAAAGCGUGGGGAGCGAACAGGAUUAGAUACCCUGGUAGUCCACGCCGUAAACGUUGGGCGCUAGAUGUGGGGACCAUUCCACGGUUUCCGUGUCGCAGCUAACGCAUUAAGCGCCCCGCCUGGGGAGUACGGCCGCAAGGCUAAAACUCAAAUGAAUUGACGGGGUCAUAGCUGUUUCCU